ACUCAAAGGAAUAGACGGGGGCCCGCACAAGCGGUGGAGCAUGUGGAUUAAUUCGAGGCAACGCGAAGAACCUUACCAAGGCUUGACAUGGGGCCGACGUGUCUGGAAACAGUCAUUCCCUUCGGGGCGGCCCACACAGGUGGUGCAUGGUUGUCGUCAGCUCGUGUCGUGAGAUGUUGGGUUAAGUCCCGCAACGAGCGCAACCCUUAUGCUUAGUAGCCAUCGGGUAGAGCCGGGCACACUAGGGAUACUGCCGUGGAUAACACGGAGGAAGGCGGGGACGAGGUCAAAUCAUCAUGCCCCUUAUGUCUUGGGCUUCACACGUGCUACAAUGGGUCGGACAAAGUGACGCAAGGCAGCGAUGCGGAGCAAAACACAAAACCGGCCCCCAGUUCGGAUUGCAGGCUGCAACCCGCCUGCAUGAAGUUGGAAUCGCUAGUAAUCGCGAAUCACUACGUCGCGGUGAAUACGUUCCCGGGCCUUGUACACACCGCCCGU
This 498-nucleotide ribosomal RNA is filed under the name uncultured bacterium. Its description in RNAcentral is "bacterial SSU rRNA". It matches the Rfam family "Bacterial small subunit ribosomal RNA", at positions 899 to 1397 of the family's 1533-position model. The record is from RNAcentral.